AAGGGUAUAGCUCAGUGGUAGAGUGCGUGCUUAGCAUGCACAGGGUCCUCAGUUCAAUCCCCAGUACCACUG
This 72-nucleotide transfer RNA is filed under the name Camelus bactrianus (Bactrian camel). It matches the Rfam family "tRNA". From Rfam's summary of the family: Transfer RNA (tRNA) molecules are approximately 80 nucleotides in length. Their secondary structure includes four short double-helical elements and three loops (D, anti-codon, and T loops). Further hydrogen bonds mediate the characteristic L-shaped molecular structure. tRNAs have two regions of fundamental functional importance: the anti-codon, which is responsible for specific mRNA codon recognition, and the 3' end, to which the tRNAs corresponding amino acid is attached (by aminoacyl-tRNA synthetases). tRNAs cope with the degeneracy of the genetic code in two manners: having more than one tRNA (with a specific anti-codon) for a particular amino acid; and 'wobble' base-pairing, i.e. permitting non-standard base-pairing at the 3rd anti-codon position. RNAcentral also lists the same sequence under 1 other name. The record is from Rfam by way of RNAcentral. Lineage: Eukaryota; Metazoa; Chordata; Mammalia; Artiodactyla; Camelidae.